GGUAUCAUUGCAGAGUGGUAAUGCGCAGAACUGUUAAUUCUUUUUUCAGAGGUUCGAUUCCUCUUGAUACCU
RNAcentral lists this transfer RNA (72 nucleotides) under Laetiporus sulphureus. Its description in RNAcentral is "tRNA-Asn". It matches the Rfam family "tRNA". From Rfam's summary of the family: Transfer RNA (tRNA) molecules are approximately 80 nucleotides in length. Their secondary structure includes four short double-helical elements and three loops (D, anti-codon, and T loops). Lineage: Eukaryota; Fungi; Basidiomycota; Agaricomycetes; Polyporales; Laetiporaceae. The record is from RNAcentral. RNAcentral also lists the same sequence under 1 other name.